UACGUAGGGGGCUAGCGUUGUCCGGAAUCAUUGGGCGUAAAGCGCGUGUAGGCGGUCCGGUAAGUCCGCUGUGAAAGUCGGGGGCUCAACCCUCGGAUGGCGGUGGAUACUGUCGGGCUCGAGUACGGGAGAGGCGAGUGGAAUUCCUGGUGUAGCGGUGAAAUGCGCAGAUAUCAGGAGGAACACCAAUUGCGAAGGCAGCUCGCUGGAACGUUACUGACGCUGAGACGCGAAAGCGUGGGGAGCAAACAGG
RNAcentral lists this ribosomal RNA (253 nucleotides) under uncultured bacterium. RNAcentral's name for it is "partial 16S ribosomal RNA". It matches the Rfam family "Bacterial small subunit ribosomal RNA", at positions 524 to 776 of the family's 1533-position model. The record is from RNAcentral.